UGGGGGGUUUGCGUUUCUGGUGAGCGCCGUGGGCUUCAAACCCAUUGAACGGUUAGGUGGCUAACUGUUGGGGAGUUCGAUUCUCUUGCCCCCUAGCCA
RNAcentral lists this transfer RNA (99 nucleotides) under Helicobacter sp. RNAcentral's name for it is "tRNA-Sec". It matches the Rfam family "Selenocysteine transfer RNA". Lineage: Bacteria; Pseudomonadati; Campylobacterota; Epsilonproteobacteria; Campylobacterales; Helicobacteraceae. The record is from RNAcentral.